CCUACGGGAGGCAGCAGUGAGGAAUAUUGGUCAAUGGACGAGAGUCUGAACCAGCCAAGUAGCGUGAAGGAUGACUGCCCUAUGGGUUGUAAACUUCUUUUAUAUGGGAAUAAAAUGUUCCACGUGUGGGAUUUUGUAUGUACCAUAUGAAUAAGGAUCGGCUAACUCCGUGCCAGCAGCCGCGGUAAUACGGAGGAUCCGAGCGUUAUCCGGAUUUAUUGGGUGUAAAGGGAGCGUAGGUGGGUUGGUAAGUCAGUUGUGAAAGUUUGCGGCUCAACCGUAAAAUUGCAGUUGAAACUGGAAGUCUUGAGUACAGUAGAGGUGGGCGGAAUGCGUGGUGUAGCGGUGAAAUGCUUAGAUAGCACGAAGAACUCCGAUUGCGAAGGCAGCUCACUGGACUGCAACUGACACUGAGGCUCGAAAGUGUGGGUAUCAAACAGGAUUAGAUACCCCAGUAGUC
RNAcentral lists this ribosomal RNA (460 nucleotides) under uncultured bacterium. Its description in RNAcentral is "partial 16S ribosomal RNA". It matches the Rfam family "Bacterial small subunit ribosomal RNA", at positions 338 to 795 of the family's 1533-position model. The record is from RNAcentral.